UACGGGGGGGGCAAGCGUUGUUCGGAAUUACUGGGCGUAAAGGGCUCGUAGGUGGCCAACUAAGUCAGACGUGAAAUCCCUCGGCUUAACCGGGGAACUGCGUCUGAUACUGGAUGGCUUGAGAUUGGGAGAGGGAUGCGGAAUUCCAGGUGUAGCGGUGAAAUGCGUAGAGAUGUGGAGGAACACCAGUGGCGAAGGCGACUCUUUGGCCUGUAACUGACGCUGAGGCGCGAAAGCGUGGGGAGCGAACAGG
This 253-nucleotide ribosomal RNA is filed under the name uncultured bacterium. Its description in RNAcentral is "partial 16S ribosomal RNA". It matches the Rfam family "Bacterial small subunit ribosomal RNA", at positions 524 to 776 of the family's 1533-position model. The record is from RNAcentral.